Molecule: small nucleolar RNA, 127 nt
Organism: Apodemus sylvaticus (European woodmouse)
Lineage: Eukaryota; Metazoa; Chordata; Mammalia; Rodentia; Muridae
Product: small nucleolar RNA SNORA17
Exons: 1
Source: RefSeq, a predicted model, not a curated record
CCUGCCCCUAGAGGCAUUUCAAGUAUGGCUACCAUGUCAUGUGUGCAUCAGUAGGUGGCAGAGAGGAGAGAGGCUAUGUCUACACUCAGUGUUCUGACCUGUGAAUAAGCCUGAGAUGGCCACCAGC